CUGCCUUAUAUUUUUUUUAAGUUGUCUGCAUUUGCAUCAAAAUUGCCAAAGCAAUGAGGAAAUGAUUUCCAAGUGAAUAGUCUAUGUUCUAUAAGUUUGAAUUCAAUGGCAAGCUAGAAAUACUGUGUUAAGGACUAAAGGUUUCCAUUCCUGCUGAGAUUCUCACCCCCACAGUGACGGUAUGAGGAGGGGCUCCUCGGGGAGUCAGUGAGGUCAUAAGGACAGGGCUCUCAUGAUGGGAUGAAGAAGACAAUGAAGACUUGCUCGUCUGCUCUCCGAAUGUGGGACACACAAAGAAGCUGGUGUCCACAACCCAGGAAGCAGGCGGCACAGAUACCAGCAUCCUGGCUUCAACAUUCCUUCCACAUGACACAAGAGUCCUGGGGCUGCUCCAGCUGCGAUUUCUGUUUUCCGAGUCUGUGGGGAAAAUAUUUGGAUGCACCUGCCCUACCAGAAGGAUGAUAAACUUUCCAAGUCUGCCACAAAUUGGGAGGAAAUGUGAUUGAAGUUGUCACGACGAACCACUCUAAUCAAGUAAUAAUCACUCUAAAUCAUUUCCAGGAAAAUCUGCAAAGUGGUUUGGAUUUAAGUGCCAUGGCUCAAUCUGGGCUCCUUAUGAAGAAGGGCAAAGUCUCCAUUCCAACCAGUCUCAGGGACAGGGACAAUGUUAGAGGCGGCCCACCCCUGCUUCUACUCCCUGAUGCAAUAUCUGGCCAGUGAAUUUCAACAUCAUAAUAGAUGCUGGGAUCAGAUCCACAAACCCUAGACAAUGAAAGAAUGUUUUAAAUGUAAAGUUUUAUUCAUGCAUCUGAUGACAAUUAUUUUAAUGGUUCACACAAAACAAAAUAUAUUUCUUAUCAAAUCUCUGUCCUUCUCCAGAAUAUCUCUCAUUAGAAUUUAUGACUGUCUAGAGAUAAUGGCAUACUUAUUUUUCAGUUCUUGAUUUCCAUACAAAAGGGCUAUUUUUUUUUCCUUCCUUUGUCCACCCCUAAGCACGUUGCCUACCUUGGGUGUUAAAAAAUCACCUUUCUUAAUACUGGAAAAUAGGGAUUAAAUGACUAACUUGUAGGUGGCCACCCAAAACACACAGCCAAGCUUGCCAAAGGAAACAAUUCACAGCUGAGCACCAUACUCUGAACCACACUGAUGAACUUGAAAGAUAGGUUUUCUUUAAAACCAAAUCCCAGUACUGAUUUUGUUAUGAAACCAAUUGAAAAGCGCAGGACCACCGUUAACUUCGUGAUAUUACGGUUUGAGGUUAGUAUCUGUACAGCUUGACAUGCAAGCUAAACUAUUCAAACUUCUAGGAGCUUUUCUUUUGCUAGCCUCUGAUGAAAGGGGGGCGGGGAAGAGAAUCGAGUGUUUUUAGCUCCACCAUGAAGAUCUGAAAAAUGGACAUCCUUUCAGAAACGACCUUGAGACACUCUACCGAUUAAUUCACUCCGUUUGUUUUAGCAUUCCU
Molecule: long non-coding RNA, 1462 nt
Filed under: Bos indicus x Bos taurus (hybrid cattle)
Lineage: Eukaryota; Metazoa; Chordata; Mammalia; Artiodactyla; Bovidae
Description: lncRNA (ENSBIXG00000012445.1)
Source: RNAcentral